Molecule: ribosomal RNA, 471 nt
Filed under: Triticum aestivum (bread wheat)
Lineage: Eukaryota; Viridiplantae; Streptophyta; Magnoliopsida; Poales; Poaceae
Description: partial small subunit ribosomal RNA
Source: RNAcentral
AUGGAUCAGGAGUUGAUCGAGCACCUUGAGGCCAAAGUGAGUGUUGACAGCGCGAGUUCUCACCCUCCCAUCGCUUUUUUCAUACCAACUAUCGACAGCGAGCACGGCAUAUGCUACACCCAUCCUGAGAAACUUCCAGGUAUCACACUGAGUGGCCUAAGCAAGCAUUUCUUCCAGCGCAAUUCUAGGGCGUUCAAAAGGGGCAUGUGGACGCGUCGCAAGAUACAGUCAGAGUGCAGCAUGCACGUGAUGUGGCACAAGACGGGCAAUACCUUGCCGGUGAUGGUCAACAGCCGGCAGACGGGCAGCAAAAAGGUUCUAGUGUUGCACACCAACAAGAACUUUGACCGGCAGAGGACUAACUGGGUGAUGCACCAGUACCACCUCGGGGACCUGGAGCAAGAGAAGGAGUUGGUCCUCUGCAAGAUUUUGUACCAGACGAACACUAGGGCCAGGACUAAAAGAUUAUAA